Small nuclear RNA from Heterocephalus glaber (naked mole-rat), 137 nucleotides. Its record names the gene U4. It matches the Rfam family "U4 spliceosomal RNA". Rfam says of the family: U4 small nuclear RNA (U4 snRNA) is a component of the major U2-dependent spliceosome. The structure of U4 snRNA from yeast and human has been reported. The record is from Ensembl. NCBI's taxonomy places the organism in Eukaryota, Metazoa, Chordata, Mammalia, Rodentia, Bathyergidae.
AGCUUUGCGCAGUGGCAGUAUCGUAGCCAAUGAGGUUUAUCUGAGGUGCAAUUAUUGCUAAUUGAAAACUUUUAUUAAUACAAGUUUUCAGUACAUAAUGAUUACAUUCAUCAUGGGGAGUUGGUACAUAUACAUGA